Molecule: non-coding RNA, 112 nt
Organism: Acanthosepion pharaonis
Lineage: Eukaryota; Metazoa; Mollusca; Cephalopoda; Sepiida; Sepiidae
Source: the annotation of a GenBank genome assembly
UAUGGCCAUAUAACAUUGAAACGCUGGUUCUCGUACAAUCAUCGAAGUUAAGCAACGUCGAACUGGUCAGUUCCUAGAUGGGUGACCACUUGGGAAUACUAGGUGCUACAAG